UACGAAGGGGGCUAGCGUUGUUCGGAAUUACUGGGCGUAAAGCGUGCGCAGGCGGCCAUUCAAGUCAGGGGUGAAAGCCCAGAGCUCAACUCUGGAACUGCCCUUGAAACUGUGUGGCUCGAGUACGGGAGAGGUGAGUGGAAUUCCCAGUGUAGAGGUGAAAUUCGUAGAUAUUGGGAAGAACACCGGUGGCGAAGGCGGCUCACUGGCCCGUUUCUGACGCUCAUGCACGACAGCGUGGGGAUCAAACAGG
This 253-nucleotide ribosomal RNA is filed under the name uncultured bacterium. RNAcentral describes it as "partial 16S ribosomal RNA". It matches the Rfam family "Bacterial small subunit ribosomal RNA", at positions 524 to 776 of the family's 1533-position model. The record is from RNAcentral.